Molecule: long non-coding RNA, 1245 nt
Organism: Rosa chinensis
Lineage: Eukaryota; Viridiplantae; Streptophyta; Magnoliopsida; Rosales; Rosaceae
Exons: 4
Source: RefSeq, a predicted model, not a curated record
CCAGCUGAAAAGGAAAAGUGUAGAAAUGAAGAAGAGACAACUGAUAAUGAAUCAGAAGGUUUCGAAGAUGAACAUGAAGAAAUGACAUUAAGAGAUUGGAUGGAUAUGAAUGGCAUGAAUUUUGCAAAAAAGAUGGACGAAAAUAGAGGAGAGGAAGGGAUGCAAACAAAAGGCACAAUUGGAGUAAAUGUCAACGAUAUGGAUUUGGGUGCAACUGAGGAAGAAGAGAUGGUAUUGGAGGUGACUUUAGCUUUGACACUGGAUUGGGGGGGGCGGGGCGGGAAAAUGAAACAAACCUUGUGGAUCAAGAUCGGGAUGGAACUGAAGGAGGAGAACCAGAUCAAAUGGAAAGGAACGAAAAAGCUACUACUGAGGCAGGUGCAAAUAUUACGGAUCAAAUCCUCAAAACCAUUGUAGAAGAGAUUGUGAAUGAAGAGUACAAGAGCAUGUAUGAUUUGCAUUUAUAUGGAAUGAUCCAGCUUGGUUCAAGGAAUGGGAAGACUUGUUGGAGAGUGAGUAUGAUGAAUUUGGCUAUCCAAGCACUGAUGAAGAACAGAUCAACACAGUGGAGCAUUGGCAAGAUGUAGCAAUGUUGAAACAAGAUAUGGUGGGAAGCGCUAUCGAGAGCUGCAAGAGGAAGCAAGCUUAUAUAGAGAGGUUAUGGGAUGAAAAAGAAGAAGUGUCAAACAAAUACAAAAAGUUGAAGACAAAGAUGAAGAAGAAGCAAGAAGAGAUUAGAAAAUAGAGAAACAAAUGCAGACAACUAAUGAUGAUAGUGCAAAGGGUAGAAAAAGAUGAAGAGGCCAAUGAAGAUGCUGCUGCUGUUCCUGCUCAUGCUACUGCUCCAACAAAUGGACCAAGGACACGAUCAGCGAUAAAGAGAAUCAAAGAAAGAACCGAUCGGAAAGAGAAGCAACUAGAAGGUUUUGAGGUGCAGAAACCAUCGAAGAAACAGAGGAAGAAGAGCAAUUAAAGGACUUCACAAACAUAUUAGUAGUCUAUUUUGGUGCACCAAUCGUAUGGGAUUCAGUGUUAAGUCAGUCAUCCAAAUUAGUAUAUAUUUUCAUGCGCAGAAGAUAGGGAUAUGUUUGUAGAUUUGCUAUUGCCUAUCAUUUCUUGAUCUUUCAACAAGCAGGAUGGGAAGGGGAUCAAAAUCUUGAAUUGCAAAGGUUCUUAAAAGGUUGAAAUUGAUUCAAGUUUUCUAAGCGAAACCAAAAUUUAAUGUUAGGUUGGUGUGAUAUUUUC